UCUUAGCGCCAUCUUGUCGAGUGAGUGCGUUCUGCUUUUUCUCCCUCUUAGACGGGGAUUCGCAAUCCGCUGCCAUCUGGACUCGGCGUUUGCCACCAGCCCUCCAGACUAACCUUGUUGUUUUCCUUUCUCCCUACAGCUUCCAUUGCGCCAUGAGAGCCAAGUGGAGGAAGAAGCGAAUGCGUAGGCUGAAACGCAAGAGGAGAAAGAUGAGGCAGAGGUCCAAGUAACCAGACUGUGCUAACCACGGAGGCCACAGGAGCAGAGAUGGAAUGACCUUUGGUGACAUCAGGAAAGCAGAAACAAUCAGGAGACAUCACCAUCUGGAAAAAGGAUUCUUACCACCAUCUUACCACCUCCCUGACUGAAGGAUAUGCCAUCAUUUAAUGAAAAUUCCACCAGCCUGACUCUUGACUCUGUGCCAUGGGACUUUUGUCAUUCCGGACUGAUUGUUUUCCUUGUGGCUAAGUGUAGCGCACCUGCAUAAUAAAUCCUCAGUACUUUCUUGCGUGAAAAAA
Molecule: long non-coding RNA, 518 nt
Organism: Trichosurus vulpecula (common brushtail)
Lineage: Eukaryota; Metazoa; Chordata; Mammalia; Diprotodontia; Phalangeridae
Exons: 3
Source: RefSeq, a predicted model, not a curated record